CCGCGCGAAGGUAGCGUAAUCACUUGUUUUUUAAAUAAAGACCUGUAUGAACGGCCCCACGAGGACCUAACUGUCUCCUUUGUCCAAUCAGUGAAACUGAUCCCCCCGUGCAGAAGCGGGGAUUCUACCAUAAGACGAGAAGACCCUAUGGAGCUUUAAACUUUUAUUAAUUAUUUCCUUCACUCCCUCCAAGGAUUUAACAACUAACUUAAUCUUCUUAAUAAAAGUUUUGGGUUGGGGCGACCAUGGAGAAAAGAAAAUCCUCCCUGAUGAUACCUAACUAAGAACCACAGCUCUAAGUAUUAAGACACUUAACUAUUAUUGACCCAUUUUAUGAUCAACGAACCAAGUUACCCUAGGGAUAACAGCGCAAUCCAUUUCAAGAGUCCCUAUCGACAAAUGGGUU
RNAcentral lists this ribosomal RNA (406 nucleotides) under Megophrys brachykolos (short-legged toad). Its description in RNAcentral is "Xenophrys brachykolos (short-legged toad) partial 16S ribosomal RNA". It matches the Rfam family "Bacterial large subunit ribosomal RNA", at positions 1946 to 2518 of the family's 2925-position model. Lineage: Eukaryota; Metazoa; Chordata; Amphibia; Anura; Megophryidae. The record is from RNAcentral.